CGCAAAAAACUCUGACGCAGAUAGUCCACAUAAUUGACCUGCGCAGCGACACAUGUCACUUAUAUUAACAGCGAGAGGUACCGGCGUUUACCAUACUGUAGCUAACACUCGAAGCGUUCGGACGUGUUAAAACUUACAAUCAGUGAAAAUGUAUACAAAUCCAUUCGAGAGGAAACACUCAGUGUUGAGGCAGGCCCUUGAUAAGUUCAUCAAGGGUGAAACGAGACUGAGCUUCAGGAAGAAGACGUUGUCGAAGAGGAUAAGCAGUGAUUCUUCUAUGUCGUCAAAUAGUACCACGGAUAGUUCUCAGAAGUUCAGCUUGAAGAGAUGAACGGGUAUAUUGUGAAGUUUUUGUGAAUAAAAAUUUUGCUACGGUCUACUCGCAAAAAGGUUGAGUCGGGUCAUACUUCGGAACUGGUUUCUUGACGUCAGAACAUCAGGUCAUUAUCAUUCGUUGGUGGAAAUAUAUGCAACAUAAUGGUACUAUAAAAUAAAGAUUUAUAUAUAAUAACAUGGUGUUCUUAUUCCAAGUAAUAAACUUCUUAUUAUUUA
This is a long non-coding RNA of Vanessa atalanta (red admiral), 552 nucleotides long. RefSeq lists it as uncharacterized. The transcript is spliced from 2 exons. The record is from RefSeq and is a predicted model, not a curated record. NCBI's taxonomy places the organism in Eukaryota, Metazoa, Arthropoda, Insecta, Lepidoptera, Nymphalidae.